AAUGAACGAGAGAUAGAACUCAAAGAAUGGGUUCUUUGAGAGACAAGAAAGUAAUCAACAAAUAUAACAACCGAGUUCCUAUACCACAAGCUCCAAAGUAGUCGAUAAGAAUGAAAAUCCUUAUGACUACAUUGAGUGCAUAUACGAUAUAUACUCAAGGAAAUGGUAAAGUACCAUUUGACUCGAAAUAAUGAAAUCUUCAUAAGCUAAUUGGUAGCUUAAGGUGACUACAAUCAAAGAGAAUGGUUGACUUUAAAGGAACCAUUUUUGACGUAGUCUUAGUUUCAAUUAAUUCGAAGAUUGCUAGCUACAACUAAAUGGUGAUUCAAUGUUUGGACAUAAUAUGGGUUUCCGAAACCAUUAUUAAGAUAGUCUUGAUAAUAUAUGUCUAAAACUAUAAAUCACAAGACAUAUAAGUUGUAGAGAUCCAUCCAUCAUGGAUCUUAGCAAGUUAGUGGGAGCUAUUUGCAUUUUAUGAGGAAAAGGAUCAAAUCGUUUGAUUUCUCAUAAAGAUGUAAAUGAAUCUUUUGUUUACGAGUUUUACAAAAGAUUAGUGGGAGUUAAUCAUGUUCCUAAAAUUUAAGUAUAUAUGAUAUAUUAAUUUUGGAAAUGAAAAGAAUACUUCUUCGUUAAAGUUAUGACUUUAAUACAUUAUAUGAAGAUAGAAUGUAUAUGGGAGAUAUAGUCUAUAUACAUGGGAUGGAAAUCUAUAAUGAUAUAUUUCUUGAUAUAAUUGGAUUAUAUCAAUCCCUAAUAAUAGACAAUGGAUGCUAGGAAGUUUCUCAUAUGAUGAUAAACUUCAAUAAGAAGGACGAUUCUAGUGAGACUAGCAAGUUGCCCUUCUCAAAGGGAAUGUACCCUUUGACUCCCAAAGAAAUAAAUUGAAUCCUUUAUGCAUACGCAGAAAGGUGAUUUAUGUAUUUCAUAUUGUAUGAAAAACAUUGAUAUGAGUGUACCUAGAACGGUACAAGAUGAUAUCAGUGCAAGCCCAGGAUCAGAACCAUGGCAACUGUCAAGUGAGUCCUUAAGUAUUUGAGAAAUACUAAAGGAUAAAUUCCUCAAAGAUCGAGGAAGAAUCAAAGUAAUGUAAUGGAAGCGUAAAUGUAUUAGAUUAUGAAUCUAAUCCAUCAUUGGAUGUUUCUUCAUUAUGAAUGAAGAGAUAAACGAAUAUCUCUUUAUUAUGACUAAAUAGAUAUUUGGAUGGAAACAUUAAAGUAAUGACUUUAGUGUGUUCCAUUAUGAAUGCAAG
Molecule: long non-coding RNA, 1249 nt
Filed under: Malus domestica (apple)
Lineage: Eukaryota; Viridiplantae; Streptophyta; Magnoliopsida; Rosales; Rosaceae
Description: long non-coding RNA (MDOM_LNC011120)
Source: RNAcentral